Molecule: ribosomal RNA, 443 nt
Filed under: uncultured bacterium
Lineage: Bacteria
Description: partial 16S ribosomal RNA
Rfam family: Bacterial small subunit ribosomal RNA
Source: RNAcentral
CCUACGGGCGGCAGCAGUGAUGAAUAUUGGUCAAUGGGGGGAACCCUGAUCCAGCGACGCCGCGUGAGUGAAGAAGUAUUUCGGUAUGUAAAGCUCUAUCAGCAGGGAAGAAAGAAAUGACGGUACCUGACUAAGAAGCCCCGGCUAACUACGUGCCAGCAGCCGCGGGAAUACGUAGGGGGCAAGCGUUAUCCGGAUUUACUGGGUGUAAAGGGAGCGUAGACGGCGAUGCAAGUCUGAAGUGAAAGGCGGGGGCCCAACCUCCGGACUGCUUUGGAAACUGUAUGGCUGGAGUGCAGGAGAGGUAAGUGGAAUUACUAGUGUAGCGGUGAAAUGCGUAGAUAUUAGGAGGAACACCAGUGGCGAAGGCGGCUUACUGGACUGUAACUGACGUUGAGGCUCGAAAGCGUGGGGAGCAAACAGGAUUAGAUACCCCUGUAGUC